UGAGUAACACGUGGGUAACCUGCCCUAAAGUCUGGGAUACCACUUGGAAACAGGUGCUAAUACCGGAUAACAACAAUAGCUGCAUGGCUAUUGCUUAAAAGGCGGCGAAAGCUGUCGCUAAAGGAUGGACCCGCGGUGCGUUAGCUAGUUGGUAAGGUAAUGGCUUACCAAGGCGACGAUGCAUAGCCGAGUUGAGAGACUGAUCGGCCACAUUGGGACUGAGACACGGCCCAAACCCCUACGGGAGGCAGCAG
Molecule: ribosomal RNA, 254 nt
Filed under: uncultured bacterium
Lineage: Bacteria
Description: partial 16S ribosomal RNA
Rfam family: Bacterial small subunit ribosomal RNA
Source: RNAcentral